UCUUCUGAUCUAUUUUGUCAGUUUUAUGAAGAAUUGCUAUUCAUUGGCUUUUCACAGGUAAACUCAGGGGAGAAUUUUUUUUUAAGAAUACAGAAAAUGAAUAAUUUUUCUGUUG
Long non-coding RNA from Herpailurus yagouaroundi (jaguarundi), 115 nucleotides. RefSeq lists it as uncharacterized. The record is from RefSeq and is a predicted model, not a curated record. NCBI's taxonomy places the organism in Eukaryota, Metazoa, Chordata, Mammalia, Carnivora, Felidae. The transcript has 3 exons.